RNAcentral lists this ribosomal RNA (301 nucleotides) under uncultured bacterium. Its description in RNAcentral is "partial 16S ribosomal RNA". It matches the Rfam family "Bacterial small subunit ribosomal RNA", at positions 509 to 807 of the family's 1533-position model. The record is from RNAcentral.
CAGUCGCCGCGGGAAUACGAAGGUCCCAAGCGUUGUUCGGAAUCACUGGGCGUAAAGGGAGCGUAGGCGGCGUGGUAAGUCAGAUGUGAAAUCCCGGGGCUCAACCCCGGAACUGCAUCCGAUACUGCCAUGCUUGAGGGUUGGAGAGGUAGCUGGAAUUCUUGGUGUAGCAGUGAAAUGCGUGGAUAUCAAGAGGAACACUCGUGGCGAAGGCGAGCUACUGGACAACAUCUGACGCUGAGGCUCGAAGGCCAGGGUAGCGAAAGGGAUUAGAUACCCCCGUAGUCCCUGUCUCUUAUAC